CCUUGGGAGUGAUGAGACAAUUUUAUUAACAGUUAUCCCUGUCUGAUCUAUGGAUGCUGAAAAUUUGUUAUCUGACCCAACU
Molecule: small nucleolar RNA, 82 nt
Organism: Rosa chinensis
Lineage: Eukaryota; Viridiplantae; Streptophyta; Magnoliopsida; Rosales; Rosaceae
Product: small nucleolar RNA R38
Exons: 1
Source: RefSeq, a predicted model, not a curated record